Molecule: long non-coding RNA, 13343 nt
Filed under: Nicotiana tabacum (common tobacco)
Lineage: Eukaryota; Viridiplantae; Streptophyta; Magnoliopsida; Solanales; Solanaceae
Description: long non-coding RNA (NTAB_LNC012551)
Source: RNAcentral
UUUUUUUUUCACCUAGUUGUCCAACUCAGCGAAAACAUACUAGUAUUUUAUAUGGGUUAAUAGUUAAUACAUAAUGAAGAGCCGUUCAUUUUGAAGGGUGAAAGUACUCUAAAAUUUAAAUAGCAAAAACUUAAUCGUUACUAAAAUUUAACGAAAUGUGUAGUUGUGGUUGAGGAUGAUGGUGCCGGAGAUGACAGGUGGUGAUAGUGAUGGCGGCUAUAGUUAAGGAUAGGGAUGAUGAUGGUGGUUGAGUACGAUGAUGGUAGUGGUAGUUGAUAAUGGUAAGCGAUAAUAGCAGAUAAUAAUUAAUAUGGAUAAUAGCAUCUUAAUAAAAUUAAUUAGUCUUUGUUAAAGAUCUUAAUCAUAUAGACCUAUUCAGACUCAUUAAUUAGUUGCGAAGUUAAAAUAAACAAAUACACUUAAUGAUAAAGAUCUAAAUGAAUGAAAUUCAUAUUUUAAAAAUAAACACACUGAAUAUUUGCGAUCUGAAUAAUUAAGAUCGACACAUUCUUAAAGUGCAAACAAAUGACGCCUUACUACACUAGAUACAGCUAAUUGGAAUUGUUAUACAUUCCCAAUGGCCUUCUAAAUACAAUGGUUGCAUUAUUUGAUGUACUGAUAGAGCUCGCGAGUAGCUUUUGCAAUGAUCAGCUAAUGAAAAACAUUUCGUCCUAUGUAUAUUCGAAUAUUUUGUUUUACAUGUUUUUAUUACUAUUCCUUUAUGAUUCUGAGAGUUGCAUGUUACUUCCGCAUGUGGAUCAAAUGACAAAAGUACCUACAUGUUGAGGUGCACAAAUCUCAUUGCUGCAAACAUUAGAAUUAUCUUUAGCCAAAUAAAAAAAAAUUAACCUAAAUAUUGGAGUUUUACAAGUUUCACAAAUUUGAUUCGAAAAGAUAAUUUAAAAAUUAAUUAAUUUUAAAAGUAAAAAAAUAUUAUAUCCUUAAAAUAUGCCACUUCAACAGAAAAAUCCACAUAGUACGGACAUGUACGUCACUUCCUGGAGAUAAGAUCGUCUAGAGGGUAUUAGGGGUAGCAAGUGGGUCCGGCCGGACCUUACACGAGCAUAGUGGGCCGGUCUUGUGGGCGCGAUUCCAGGGCGGUCCCGAUCCUUAAACGGGCUAAACGGUCCCGGACUAAACGAUCUUUUUGUAGGAGCCGACUUGGGACCGGGCCCACGAACUCAUGGUUCAGGACUGAACGGGUCGGGCCCGCGGCUAAGUGAGCUAAGUGGGCCCAACGGCAAAGUAGUGAUUUUUAAAAUACAUUACAUAGAAAUUAGAGACAAUUAAAUAUGUUAAAAAAAUACCUAAAACAAUACCUUGUAUAUUUAUUAGGCAGAAUAGCUUAAAUGACACUUAUACUUGUGCCACUUUGUCAUGUCAGUCCUCAAACUUAUCAUUUUGUCAAUUGAACACUUACACUAGUUCAAAUCGUAUAUAAUAAACACUUAUGAUAUGAGGUUACCGGUGCGUGUAAUAUAAUCUCUUACACGCAGGACGCCACGUCAUUACCAGUGUCACAUAGGAAAAUAAACUAUUUAAAAAUAGAAUCUUCUAGAAAACCCUAGCAAUCUGCAAGUCCCUGGCAACACAAAGUAGAGUUUCUCUUUUACAUCAUCCAUAACGAAAUUCUCGUCCAUCAAAUUAACGCUCCAGUAACUCACUAACUCCUUCAUGAAAUUGCUCAAAGCUUUCCCACCAAGAUCAAGCCUUUUCACUCCCUAAUUCAUUGUGAAAUUCUGAAACACGGGUAAGGCAUGAGUAAAUGAAAAUCUACAAUCCACAACUAAGCUGCAUUGGGCUUUAGACACAAUCCCAUAAGGGCGACGAGAUGCCUUAUAGAGAUGGACGAAAGAGGGGGAAUCCGAAACAUAGAGAGCCUUAAAAUUGAAAUCUUCGAACCACACAUACCCAGAAGCUUCAAGCGAGCUUUAACGGCGUAUCUGCUUCUCCCUCUAGUUUUGAUCCUCAAACACAAAUGUUUAUCGCAUUUUCAAGUCUAAAUUUCAAUACCCAGCUGAGUUUUAAUACUAGGUUUCAAAUCACUAGAUUCGUUCUUCGCAAGACCAGCAAUGGAAUUUCAAAAAUUCUCAACAAACAAGCCUUUGAAUCUCCUCUCCAAAAUCCGAAUAAAGAUUCAAAUAGCGAAACACAGCAACAAUAACCAAAAUAAGCCUUUGAAGGCUCAUCCAUUGUUUACAGUAGUAUGGAGGGGAAAAAAAGAUUGGGGGCAAGAAGAUGUCACGAUCCAAAACCUAACAUGUCGUGAUAACGCAUAUCGAUGGUACUAGGCAAGUCGAUUUACCCAAAAUACUUCAGAAAUCAAAUAUAAAAGUAAUUUAAAACUUUUCCAUAUCAUGAAUUUUCAUAAAACCCAAAGUUAAACUCAAAACUGAAUCGAAGUGCGAAAAACUAGCCCCAAACAUCGGGGUGUCACCAAGUCAUGAGCGUCAAAAUAUCAAAACUACUACAACCAGUGUCUAAGUAUCAAUACAAUGCAGAAAGAAAUAUAGAAGGAGAGACAAGGCUCUGCGGACGCUGGCAGCUACCUCGUAGUCUCCGAAACUCGAUCACGCCUGAACUCAACGGUCUCCGUGCUCAAACACACCUGGAUCUGCACAUGAAAUGCAGGGUGUAGUAUGAGUACAACCGACUCAACAAGUAACAGAAAUAAAUAAAGAACUGAGAAGCAGUGACGAGCUAUACUGAACAAUUCAUUUGAUAAUUUUCAAAGUCUAAGAGUAAACAUGAGUAAUGCUAGUAACAUGAGUCGAAUCAGUUGCAUAUUUACCAAGUUCAAGUAAAACCAAAUAUCAGCUAAAUGCAGCAACAAAGGUAAUAGAUGCAACCUCACAGGGUAUUGUCACUCAAAGUCUCAAUAACUCAACACUCGGCUCUCACCCCUCAAUACACACGCUCAAUAGGUACAUGCCUUCACUGGGGGUGUUCAGACUCUGGAGGGGCUCCUACAGCCCAAGCGCUAUAAUCUGCACGGACAACUCACGUGCUGCACGAAAAACUCACAUGCUAUAAUAUCAUAUCAGAAUCCGUACGGAUAACUCACGUGCCGUACGGACAACUCACGUGCUAAGGUACAAUACCUCACAAAUAGACCCUCAACCUCACUCAGUCAUGAACCUCUCUAGUCUCACAACCCUCAGUAAAGAAAGGGAAACAACCCAAAUCAGAAUGCUAUAGUGUAUCAGCAGGGAAAUAACAGAGACUGAGGUAAACAUAUGCAAGAAUUACUAUGGCUGAGUAUAACAACUAUAAGCAGGUACAUAGCCUAAGCAUGAUUUCUAACAUGAAGGACAGUCAAAUUUCUAGUAGACAAGUAAUACAUAUAAGCAUUAAAAGGCUAUUAGACUUUAAGUUUCAUGGGACGGAGCGAGUCACAAUCCCUCACGGUGUACACUCACACGCCCGUCACUUAGCAUGGGUGUCACCUCUAAACAAUCACAUUAUACCAAACUCUGGGUUUCAUACCCUCAAGACCAGAUUUAAAACUGUUACUUACCUCAACCGCGUAGAAAUCCUACUCUGGAAUGCCCUUUCCUCUCGAACCGGCCUCUGAAUACCCCGAAUCUAGCCACAAACAAUACAAUACGAUCAAUAUGGGCUAAAGGAAUAAAUUCCAUAAGAAAAAUACCAAAUUAUAGCCAAAAACCUGAAAUCAGCUCAACCCGCCUCUCCGGACCUAUGUCUCGAAAUCCGACAAAAGUCACAAAACCCGAAAGAUCAUUCACUUACGAAUCUAACCAUACCAAAUUUAUUCCAAUUCGAUAACAAAAUCCCAUUCAAAACCUCAAAUUUCUAACUCAAGAGUUCUUCCUCUUUUUCCCCAAUUUCUCACCCCCCAAUUCACAAUUUAGAUAAUAAAAUCAAAGAUGUAAUCAUGAAAUUUAACCAAAACCAAGUAGAAAUCACUUACCCCGAUCAACUCCAUGAAAAUCCCUUAAAAAAUCGACCAAUUCCAUGUUCUCUGGCUCAAAAUAUGAAAAUGGGCUCAAACCCUCAUUUUUGAAAUUAAUACUGUUUGCCCAUAUUUCCUUCUUCGUGAACGCGAACGCCCUCUCGCGUUCGCGUAGACCAACUUGACUGCCUCCCAGCUUAACUCAUCGCGAACGCGUUCCUUUCCUCGCGAAUGCGAUGCUGUACCAACUCUGACCUUCACGAACGCGACCAACACCUCGCGAACGCGUAGAACAAAAGGAUUGGGGUCCUCAGCUACCUCACUCCUCUUCGUGAACGCGACCCUACCCCCGCGUCUGCAAUGCACACACAGAUCACACCUUCGCGUUCGCGUCCUCUUCUUCGCGAACGCAAAAAAUAAAUUCUCCUCAGCUCACAAAUACUCUUCGCGAACGGGAGGCUCCUCUCGCGAAUGCGUAAGAGGAAACCAGAAGCAUACAACAGCAGAUAACGGCUAUUUCACCAAGGCCAAAAAUGAUCCGUUAACUACCCGAAACUCACCCGAAGACCUCGGGACCUCAACCAAACAUACCAACAUGUCCCAUAACAUCAUACGAACUUAGUCGAAUCUUAAAAUCAACUCCAACAACAUCAAAAACACGAAUUACCCACGGAUUCAGGCCUAAUGAACUUCUAAACUUCCGAAUUUCGCAAACGACGCCGAAAUCUAUCAAACCACGUCCGAUUGACCUCAAAUUUUAUACACAUGUUAAAAAUGACACCACGAACCUACUCCAACUUCUGAAAAUUCAUUCUAACCCGAUAUCAAGAUUUUCACUGCCGACCCAAAAUCGCCAAAUUUCCAACUUCCGCCAAUUCAAGUCUAAUUCUACUACGGACCUCCAAAUCACAUUUCGUACGCGCUCCUAAGUUUAAAAUUACAUAACGGAACUAACGGAACCAUCAAAAUUCAAAUCUGAGGUCGUUUACAUACAAAUCAAUAUCCGGUUGACUUUUCAAACUUAAGCUUCUAAUAAAGAGACUAAGUGUCUCAAUUCACUCUGAAACCACUCCGAACCUGAACCAACCACCCCAAUACGAUAAAAUACAGCUGUAAGGCACAAAAGAAGCAGAAAUAGAGAAAACGGGACUAUAACUCUCGAAACGGUCAUUACAGAAGAAAGGUGGGAUUUUCGGCCCAAUUUUGUGCCUAAUUUUAGUUAAUUCAUUUUUAAUCAAAAUCACUAGUAUCACUCUCUUUACACGUGUGUGUUACACAUAAUUUGUCCACCUCAACUAUGUUAAUGUCUCAUAAGCGCGGUCAAUGGGCAGAGGGAUUUAGAAUAUACGAUUUGAACUAGUGUAAGUGUUCAAUUGGCAAAAUGAUAAGUUUGGGGACUGGCAUAACAAAGUAGCAUAAGUAUAAAUGCCAUUUAGGCUAUUCUGCCAAUUUAUAAUAUAAUUGUGGCCUAAUUUUUUAAUUCAAAUUUAAAUACAAAAAAUUAUAAAAAGAUAUUCAAAGCAAUACCAUGUAAUUUUAUUAUAGCAAUAAAAAUAUGACAAUAUCUUUCUUAGUCUUCCUCCUCUUUAUGAAAUGAGCACAACAAGGUGUUAAUACCACCAUUGAGAAGAAAAAGGAACUAAUCAAGAUGUGCCAAAAUAUAAGUUACAUAAUACAGUACUAAUUUUUGUUCAUACAAGUUACAUGCUAUCUCUUACAAACUUCAUAAAUCCUUCAAGGUUCGAAGGAAGUUCCGUUGGUAGUGGCGGAAGUAGCUUGGUCAUCGCCGCUUCCAUUGAGGUUAAAACUAAGUUGGAGAGGGGGGAGGAGGGGGGAGGGGGUUAUUAAAUGGCUAUUUUUUAAAUAGCCAACGACUAUUUUUUAAACUCCCAACAACUCUUUUUUUUCAAAAGCCAAACAACUAUUUUUUUAAAAAUAAAUAUCCGUUGGGCCCGCCAAGAGAUCAGUCCGGUCUCGGUCUCUUGGCGGGCCAAACGGGCCCGGUACUAACGGUUCCUAGCUAAGAAUCGGCCCACGAGACCGGCACGAGCCCACCUCUAGCGGUCCUAACGGUUCCAGUCCACUUAGCCCGCGGGCUCGGGCUGAUCCCGAGCCCAGACCGGCCCACUUGUCAGCCUUAGAGGGUAUCAAAUAGUCAGGUUCAAGAGGGUAACUAAGAUUACAAAUAACUUAGGAGUUAAGCUAAUAAUUCGUUAAGUUUAAGGAGUUUUUAGCUUUUCUAUCUUAUUUUAAUUUUCACCGGUCUGCCACCAGCAAAUUAAUAUUUCUAACAAGAUUAGUAGAUGACUAAUAGCAUGUUUGUCCAAGCUGCAAAAAUCAGUUUAUUUUGAGAAGUGCUUUUUUCAAAAGUAUUAUUAGUGAGAAGCAAUUUGUGUUUGGCUAAUUAAUUUGAAAAGCACUUCUAAGCAGAAAUUAGUUUUUUGAGAGAAGUUAUUUUUUUUAUGUUUCUCUUCAAAAUCAUUUUUUUCCCUUUCAAAUGCUUGUCCAAAUACUUUAACUUUGUAAAAAAAAAUACUUUUUUUAAAGAAAAAAAAAAUAUAUUUUUAGGAUUGGAGAAGCUUGACCUAACAUGCUAUAAUUAUGAUCCAAUCAAACUCACGUUGAACUCACGUUAAACGUGUACGGAAUAGAUCUAAAUGCUACUCGAUCAAACAUAGUAGUAUUGUUUAAUGAGUAACAUGGGCUUAUCAUAUUAUUAAUUGAUGGAGUACUAGGUUUUUAUCCAUUCUCAUUGGUCUUCAAAGUAGAUAGUUGCACACUUUUAACGUACUAGUACUGUUAUUGUUACAGCUCAUGGUUUGCGUUUCCAAAUAAGCGGAUCCAGGAUUUAAACUCUAUAAAUUUAAUUUUUAAGGUUUUAAUAUUGAACUUAUUAUAUUUUUAAAUUUAUGAAUUCAUAUCUAUUAUUUUUAUAAUUUUAGUGAAUUUUUAUAUAUAAAUUUUUAUUUUACGUCCAAAGUUACAAUUCAAUUGCACCCGUCAUCAAUACUCUACAUCCGUCUCUGCAAUGGUCUAUGGUUUCUCAUAGGUAGGCUGAGAGCUGCCUUUGUGAUUAGAAAUGACGUAACGUACUUCAGAAACCUGAACUAAUAAUUAUAUUAUUAUUACAGAGACACAGUUAAUUGUGUUAUUACUUUCUCUUCCGAUUUAUGUGAACUUAUUUUUUUUUAUUUUUUCAUAAAAAAUGAUCCUUUUCUAAAUUUGGUAACAAUUUAGUUUAAACUUACAAUUAUACCCUUAAUGAGAAGCUUUUUUAACCACACAAAUACUCUUGACUCCUUUUUGACUUGUUUAGGACCACAAAUUCUAAAAGUUUUCAUUUUUUCUUUAACUCCGUGCCCAAUUAAAUAAGUUCAUAUAAAUUAGAACGGAGAAAGUAUUGUACUAGGUUCGCUAGUAUCUAUUCCCGUUGGCUUUAAAAUUCAAAGGUAAUGUAAUGGUUGCAGUAUUUUAAUGAGUAAAAUGGGCUAAUCAUUUUUUAGUACAGUGGGAGACAGUCAGUGUACUACUCCUUCCGGUCCACAAUAAAUGAUCAAUUUGUUUAGGUCACACCCAUUAAAAAAAUACAAAAUUCAAGACAAAAAUAGUUAGUAUGACUAAAUCACCUUUAAUUAAAUGUUACAGCAUAAUUAAUGUGAGGAGUAACAGACUCUUUAGGGAUACGUACAUAAGAAUAAUUUAAAAAAACCAAAUUAAAUUUUUUCUUGGUUAUAUAAAUAAAUACUUAUUUUAGACUAAAAUAAAAAAAUAAAUUAAUCACUUAUUAUAGACUAUCCAUUCCCAAAGGCCUUCCCAUCACAGUCAAUGGUUGCAUUAGUUAAUGUAGAGUGGUAUUGUUACAGCUCACGGUUUGCCUUCCCCAAAUAAUUAAUGGAAACCACUAUGUUAAAAUACUACUCCCUCCAUUUCAAGUCACGUGAACCAGCCUUUUUAAUCUGUUAAAAAAAAAUACAUAUUUUCUUAUUUAGAAAUAAUUUACCUUUAUAUAAUGAUAUAUAGUUACAAAAUAUAUGUUUUUCAUUUUAUACCACAGUUCAAAAGUCUUCUUUCUUUUCUUAAACUUCGUGCUCGAUCAAAUAGAUUCACAUAAAUUUAAACGGAAGGAGUAUAUCGGCAAAGGGCAAAAAGUAAUACUCUUAUUGUCUAAAUAUUGGAUCACCAUUGCUCUAAAAACUAACGGCUGAUAUUUGUAGAGGAGUGACAAGGGAACCACGGGGUGGAGAAGAAAAAAAAUAUAGAGCGGGGGAAGGGAAGAAGGGUGGGGUGGGAUUAUUAUUUUUUUCUUCUAGUUGUCCAACUCAGCGAAAAUAUACUAAAGUACUCCCUGCGUUUCAAUUUACGUGAACCUAUUUUUUUUUGAUCCGUUCCAAAAAGAAUAAUUUUUUUUAACUUUAAAAUAAUUUAGCUUAAACUUCCAAUUCUACCCUUAAUAAGAAGCUUUUUAGGCAUACAAAUACUCUGGAUCUCUUUUUGACUUGUUUGGGAGCACAAAUUUCAAAAUCUUUAUUUUUUCCUGAAUUUCGUGCCAAGUCAAACAGGUUCAGAUAAAUUGAAACGGAGGGAAUAGUAUUUUAUAUGGGUUUAUACAUAAUGUAGAGCCGUUAGUUUUAAAGGGUAAAAGUAAUCUAAAAUUUAAAUAGCAAAAACUUAAUCGUCACUAAAAUUCAACGAAAGGUAUAAGUGGUCUAUUUUAAAAAGUUAAAGGAUAAUUUUGGCCAUUUUCCGAUAUAUUAAAUUGACCUGUUUUGCUAUUUUUCUACGGUUUCAGAAUUGCAUGGUACCUCUACAUGUGGAUCAAUACGACAAGGAAUAAAGCUCAAACGGCUAUGGAAAAUAGGAUAAAUCUGCCUUCCGUUUGAAUUUGGUCCCAACUAUGCUCUCUAAUUUGCCCCUUAACUAUGGAAAUGAAACAAAUUUGUCCUCAGUUUGAAUUUGGUUUCAAGUAUGCUGUGAAAGAGGUCACUAGCCUAUAAAGUUCAAUGUAUGAAGUGUGCGGAGAAAAAGAAAAAGAAAAGAAAAAAAAAGAGGAAAAUUUUUGUAAGAAAAAGCAAAAAAGAGUUCAAAUAAUGUAAAAAGACACACACCUCCUAAUCCUUCUAACUCGUGCUAGUGAAACCAUAGAUGUACUUAAUUGAAAAGAGGGCUAUGUUAUAUAUGGUGUAUGACAAGUGAAUGGGUUGAAAAGCAAAUGCGCUUGAUUUGUGAGUGUAGUGUAUUAAAAUACUUAGGAGGGUUAGUCAAUAUUUCUAAAUGUAUCCUACCCUCCUCUUAACCUACAUUACAACCUUAAAGUCCUAAUUGAUUCUAGAUUUGGCUAGCUUAGAUUAGUAGAGAUAUACACUACAUGCAAGCUUAUGGUACGACCAUGGGAUGCACAUGAAUUCUUUGUGAGAAUGAGUGAAUGUUGUUCAAUUGUGUGAUAUCCUUAAUUUAUGUUCAAUGAUAUAUUUGAAUGUAUGGACUAUUUUUAUAUUCACUCUUUUGUUUGUGGUGAGGGCACUUGGUCUCAUGAUGGAUUGACGAUGUUAUACACUUUCUUUUGUUGUGUGAGUGCGUGAGUUGAAGAUGCUUAGUGGUUACGAGUCAUCUCUUGAGGUAAGGUGGUUGUGGAGAGGUUGCUUGAGUUUUUUGAAUAACAUUGAGUGUACUUGGGCUAGUUUAAAGACGGGAAGAAUGUAAAAUUCGUGUGUUCAUGCUUAAUUGCCGAUAUCGAUCAUAGUCUAAAGGUAGGGUGUUUGAUGGAAUUAAUUGUGAAGUGCUCUUUUAUAGUGAUAGGUACGCUUUGGGGUGUUAAUAUAGUUCCAUUGCUCGAGGAUGAGCAAGAGUCUAAGUGUGGGAUGUUGAUAAUUGGCUUAAUGUAUGCAUAUUUUGAUAUAUAUUGCCUCACAUUUUGCUCAUGUCUCGAAGAUUUGAGAUGUAUAAUAUGACGAUUUGUGCUAAUUUGUGGUAUUUCUAUGUGUAGGAAUCAUUCGAUACAAUUUGGGACGAAAGGGCGCGAAUUGGAGCGAAAUUGAAAAGAAAAGGCAAAAGUCCGUAUUUGAAGGCCACAUGCAUCAUGGGGCGCUGUUUGUAGCGCAAUUUACAGUGUACUGAGAAGUUGAGCGCCAGGGCCAGCGCCCCACGCUGCCCUGGACGCUCAAAACGCAAGUUGUCCUGUUUCGACUAGGACUCGGUUAUUUCUAUCCCAAGACGCCCCCAACUCAUAUAAAAGCCAACCUAAACCUAUUUUGAAGAGUGGGACGUGACUUUGAGAGAGAAACAAAAGUACGAAACACUCGGGAGCACGAGUUUGAGCAAUUCUUCCAUUCUUCCUUCGAAUUUGAGCAAUUCUUCCAUUCUUCCUGUAGUAUUCAUUGGCUUUAUGUUUGAAAUAUUAUUUUUUAUGAUUGUAUGAAUAUGAGUGGCUAAGAACCCUAUUGUUCUAGGGUCAUGGGUGAUACAUGAAUGUUGAUGUUUGAAGUUUAACUUGACGAAUUUGAUUUUAUCAUAUUUGGUUAUUUAUUUAAUUCUGUUUUUAUUAUUAUACUGAGUAGCUAACAGUGAAAUACUAUCUACGAAUCUAGAGUUGAACUCGAAAGUGGGAAUUCUAGAUUGCAUAUAAAAUUAAAUAGAGCAGGUUCUUGAACCCGGGCAUCGGAAAAUGGAUUUGCAAUUAGGAUAGAAAUAUACCUAAUAGCCUUGCUUGGUUGAAAUACAUGAAGUGUAAAUGCAUUCUUGUUAAUCUUAAUUCCAUAUACAUAUAGGCAUUAAGUUAGCUUGAAUAGGCGAGUAAGAACUUAACAGAUUCUUAUGAGUAAUAUCAACUAACAUUCCAGAUAAAUCAAUUAGUCAUUUUAAGCCAAGAAUACAACAUGAUGUGACCCUGCAAUAUCAUCUCCUAUUGAUUGUUAUCCGAAUUUUCUUAAGUGUUGUGGUUGAUUUCUAGUUAUUUCAUUGCUUGAUAGUUUUAGGUAGUAAAUUAGUCACUUAUACAUUUUGUGAGAAAUCUCUUGAAUCGAUAAGUUGUUUGAGUUUGAAUAAGUCAAAAGUUAAUCAUAAGUAUAUUUGUUGUGGGACCACUAUAUCCGUUGUCAAAAAUAUUUUCUUUGACUUUUUCGACCGAUUCGGUUGAUUUUUUUUCCUACCGAUUUCGGUCGGUAGCCAGUUUUCUAGUAGUGGAAGACAAACACUUCAAUUGGUUGGAAUAACAUGUCUUCAACAAAACAAUGAUAGUUGAAGCUUGAAAGCAAUACAACUUGAAACAAAGCAAAUACAACCAUAUCACAAAAUUAAUAGUAGUAGGAAAUAUUCAAACAGUUUUACAAUUGAGAAAGAAAACAGUACCCACCCUACAUGAUCGGGAACUCGAAAUCCAGGAAGGGUGUUUCAAGCCGAUACUUCAUUUAAAAUCUCCGACAACAUUAAUGCAGAGAGUUAUUUAACAAUGCUUGAAUAAACAAAAGAUCGAAAUAGCAUUUCUUAAUUUAUUGCAGAAAACACUAAAACGCCCGCGGUGACACCAUAUCAAACUGAUCAAUGUUCUCCUCAUCACCUGAAGAAAGCAGGAAAAUUAGUAUAUAGUAAAUGACUAACAGGAGAAGAAACGUACGUGAUAUAUUUUUUGUGGUUUUGAAGAAAACAGAGGAAACCACUAAUUAAUUCAUUGACAAUAGUACUCCAUUAGGUAUAUUAUAAGUAUAUAUAUAGUGGAGUAGUAACAUAAAAAAGCAAUAUGAGUUAAAUCGUGGUCGAACCAUUUAAUUAAGUGACUAAAACGAAAAGAGCUCAUAACUGUCAUGGUGGACUUACAAUAACAGAUAUUUAGAAAUGGAGAAGGUGAAAACCUCCCUUGGCAAUAUUCGAUUAUUGUUAAUAGUUUUUGGCCGAAAAAUAGGUCAUCAAAUACUCAAGCAAAAGCGUACUGCAAUGUGGAAGGCUACAGAAGACUUUUCCAAAAGGAGGAAAACAUAAUGUGUGCCCGUCACGAGGGACCUUGGCUGUUUAACCACUUUCUCUCAGUGAGACGUUGGGAGCCCAAGUUCAUUGCCUCCUCCGCGCAACUCACAUACUCCGCGAUUUGGAUCCGUCUUCCCGAACUCCCAACCGAGUUUUAUGAUCUGGAAAUCCUCAAAAGGAUUGGAACGAAAGAGGGUAAACUAUCAAAGUGGACACCUUCACUUCUUCCACAAUACGAGGACGUUAUGCUCGUGUUUGCAUAGAGGUACCACUGGAAAAAACCCUCAACCGCCAUUGCAGGGCCCACAAGUAAGUCUUGUAACUCCAAUCCACCAAUUCCAAAUUAUGUUUCUAAUACAAAUUUGAACUCUAAUAAUACUGGGCUUAUUAACUCCUCUAAUUUGUUUAAUUGUCUAGCCAAUAAUAAUGAAGAACUAGUGGACCCCAUCCCCUCCACAUCUCACCCUUAUGAACAGACUCCACAACCUACGCCAACUAUGCCAAUACACAACAUACAAAAUUGCCACGUUGAUCCCCGAAAUUCCACCGCCCAUACCAGUAAACCCUCCCCUUCCACGUAUAACCCUACUCAAGUCACAUCCAUAGUGGAUCAAAUAAAAUCCUUUUUACCCAAUCAAGACAUACACUGUGCAAGCCCACUAAAUUCUCUAGAAGCCAUCGCUAACCCAGUAGGUUCCCAAAUAUCACCCCUACUUUCCCAAAUAUCACCCCUACUAUCUACAGAGAAUGAUGCAGCCCAAAUACCAAGUUCUCAUAAUACUCAUGAUAUUCCCUCAAGCCCUCCAAAGUCUGAUAGCCCAAAUAUCUCAUCACUGCCCAUUACAUCAAUUUCCUCCUCCCAAACUAAGAUACAUACUACGUUACUGAACUUAGAGGAUUCACAGCACUCCUCACACUCCUUUAUCGCCCUUCACCACCACAAUUGCCCAUACCCAAGCAUUCACCUACAUCACACUCCUCCUCCACCAUACCAUCUCAUACAUCCUCUUCCCUUCACCAUGCAGAAUCCACACCUUCCACUUCAGUAUCGUCUCAUCUACACCUCAUCGGCCCCCCAACCCCUCGCACCAGCACAGUCCUGGCUCGAGAUGGGGCUACUGGGCCAUGCACAGACCUUCGCGUUGGAGAUAAACAAUCAGGACAUCCUCAUCAUGAUACAAAACUCCAUGGACAUUGCUCAAAUCGUAACGGAGAGGAUGAGGCUAGGUUGGGAAACCUAUGCCCAAUACCAAUCUUUUAUCCACCAACCUCUGAUGUUCAAUCCCUACAAUCUCAUCUCACCACCCUUCAAUAUCCCCCAUUACCAGCCUUACGGCCAGUUCACAUGAGGGAGAUGUCGUUUUACCCGCCGCUCUUCCCGGAGAAUCCUCCCACUCCAUGGAUACACCAACACAUCACUCUCCAUUCACACAUGCAGACCCCACCUCCCCUCACCACACCUCCAUCGUCCUCC